AACGUAGGACGCAAGCGUUAUCCGGAGUUACUGGGCGUAAAGCGCGUGUAGGCGGCGGGUCAAGUCCGGCGUGAAAGCGCCCGGCUCAACCGGGCGAGGUCGUUGGAGACUGGCUGGCUGGAGGACGGCAAAGGAGCAGGGAAUUCCGGGUGUAGUGGUGAAAUGCGCAGAGAUCCGGAGGAACACCAGUGGCGAAGGCGCUGCUCUGGGCCGCCCCUGACGCUGAGGCGCGAAAGCAUGGGGAGCGAACGGG
This 253-nucleotide ribosomal RNA is filed under the name uncultured bacterium. RNAcentral's name for it is "partial 16S ribosomal RNA". It matches the Rfam family "Bacterial small subunit ribosomal RNA", at positions 524 to 776 of the family's 1533-position model. The record is from RNAcentral.